Molecule: long non-coding RNA, 2146 nt
Filed under: Gallus gallus (chicken)
Lineage: Eukaryota; Metazoa; Chordata; Aves; Galliformes; Phasianidae
Source: RNAcentral
AUCACAUCUUUGUGUUGUUGGAAGUUGCAAGAACUUUUCUGAUAGAUUUCAGCAGAACUAAGAAUUACUUGAUUCUAUUGUUGACUUGAUCUCUGCUUUUUGAAACUUUGGACCAGUCUGCGGGUGAGAUGAGUCUUCUGCUUAUUAACACAAGUAUGAAAAAUAGCUCAUGUUCAAGAUCACAGCAUGCAUAGGAGUCCAAACCAUCUUGAGAUAUUGGACAAAGGAAUUAGAGGUCAGCUGGGCAGAAAAAUGUCAGUGUCUUAUGUCUACGCUGGAUAGAAGAAGAAUUAAGAGACUUAUUGAUUCGAGGAAGAUUUAGACCAGUCACUGAGGAGGAACUAGCAGGAAGAGAUUUUCAAGGCAGGUCCUUGGGCUGUGUGUGGCAAUUGGGCACGUACCUGUUGGAAAUGCUUCAGGCAGAGAGCAACCUGUCUGUAGAGCCCCGGUACAGCAGGGUGCUGGCCUGAAACCAAUGUUCUGUGGGACUGGAGCCAGAAACAGGAUCAGGGUUGCAGGAAGAACCCUGAAAAGAAAGGCUCUUCUUUCAGAAAGUGGAGCUCCAUGAGCUGUCGGCAUCCCAGGGGCAGAGCAGAGGCAGAUUUUGGCUGUGAAGUUGACCCAGCCAAUGCCACGCAGGACAAGGUGGCAUUGAGAAGGUCCACAGCAGCAGCAUGUGUGCUGGAGGGGAACCACAAGCCGUGAAGGAUAGGGCAAAAGUGCCCGCUUCAUAAAUACACAUAAACAAACAAAACAGCUCACCAGCAGACAACGUAUGACACCUGUCAGUUGACUUCAAUGACUGCUCACCACUUCUUCGUGUUCUGCACCUCCCACAAGUCAGCUCCACAGAUGUGUCAGGAACGCUUCCUGAUGACUGCAUUGUAACAAAUGUGCAGAGGUAUGAAGUUGCAGUCCAUCACUUCCACACUGUUGCUGUGGCCCUGUGAACUCCUCUGAAUGAAAAACUCUUCAGUAUCACUCAGAAAUAUGAGGUUUAGGUUCAUCAGCUCCUUGUUGGCUUGCGACUAAAGGCCACAAUCAGUGUGGAGAAUGUGGGGCCCUUCUGCUCCAGACAUAUUUUCCAUAGUAGUUCCAUAUUUUCCUCCAAUUUACAAAGCAUUUCCAAAGGUGGAGAGCAAGAAGUGCACUGCCUACCUCCUGCAUCACCCACAACAGACCUUCCCACAGCACCAAAGGGAGAGCAGGGAGGUUGUUGGCUUUAAAUGAAUUGCACUGCCAACCCAUAAGGUGCAUUUGGGUUCACCGUGUUUUCCCUGUAUUUAAGUUUUACUCAUCUGAAAUUAAGCUAAUUAUACGUUUUCUUUAAUUUUCUCCUGUAACUCCUCUUUAUUUGAACAGCACUCAUAAGAUGUUUGAUUAUGGUCCAAAGUUACAUCGACUUUCACCCCAACUCUGCUGUCCAUUCAGAAAAGAGGCAGAAGGAGAUGGGCUGGGUUAGUCUAGGGAGAGUUGGAUGGAGAAGAUAGUAAGAGGCUCCAUCAGUGCUCCCCAACUAAGUGACACUGAAGUGCCACAUGGAGGAAGUACUUUUUGGGGCGCUAUCAACAGCCUAAAACUGUACUGGUACAUCCUUUUCUCUGGGUUAACUCUGGUCUCUUCUGUGCCACAGUGUGAAAGGUCUGAAGUAUCUCAGCCACUGUGUUAUGCUGACAGCACCCUUACCAGAGGAAUGCUGUUCUGCUCUCCUGUGAAGGAAGAAGGGAAUAGGAGCUCUCAUAAGAGCAUUUCUUGUGCUUCAAGUUCUUUGUAAGAGAAAACAUAGCUAAUUUUAGUUUAAAUGGAUGUUAAUUUGACGUGUGGAUUUGAAUAACUGAGAUAAAUUCUUGGCUUUUUGGCAUUAUAAUAUAUUAAAUGACAAAUGCUUUUUGAAUACUGAAAGGUUCUUUCUCUCUCCUCUGUAAGGCGUAAGUCUCCUGGAUUUGCAGGAAGUUGUACAGAAUGGUCCAAUAGGUCAUCUUCAUCUCUGGCUUAUGUGGUAAUAAAGGAAUAAUAAAAACGAAGGUUGCAAAGCAUUCUUUCCAUGACUGAAUCAGCUGGCUUUUUUAUGGGCCAGUUAUUCACUGAGCAAUAAAUAUUCAUGGGCUUUUCAGCAAAGACAUGGUGCAUAAUUAGUCUUGAGCGC